UGGUCAAGUUAUUAAGGGUGCAGGGCGGAUGCCUUGGCACUAGGAGCCGAUGAAGGACGUGAUAAGCUGCGAUAAGCUUCGGGGAGUUGCACGUAAACUUUGAUCCGAAGAUUUCCGAAUGAGGAAACUCACUUAGAGUAAUGUCUAAGUAUCAUUAAGUGAAUACAUAGCUUAAUGAGGGGAACUCAGGGAACUGAAACAUCUAAGUACCUGAAGGAAGAGAAAGAAAUUCGAUUCCGUAAGUAGCGGCGAGCGAACGCGGAUUAGCCCAAACCAAUAAAGUUUUCUUUAUUGGGGUUGCGGACAUAUCAUAACGAAGAGGUAUCGUAAUUGAAGAGGUUUGGAAAGACCCACCACAGAAGGUAAUAGUCCUGUAUGUUAAACGAGAAGACUUCAGAUAUGAUCCAGAGUACCACGGGACACGUGAAACCCUGUGGGAAGCAGGAGGGACCACCCUCCAAGGCUAAAUACUACCUAGUGACCGAUAGCGUAUAGUACCGUGAGGGAAAGGUGAAAAGAACCCCGGGAGGGGAGUGAAAUAGAACCUGAAACCCUGCACUUACAAGCUGUGGAAGCACAUUUCUUGUGUGACCGCGUACUUUUUGUAGAACGGGCCAACGAGUUACGUUAAGUAGCAAGGUUAAGCACUUAAGGUGUGGAGCCGUAGCGAAAGCGAGUUUUAACUGAGCGUUCAGUUACUUGACGUAGACCCGAAACCGGGCGACCUACCCAUGAGCAGGAUGAAGCGAAAGUAAAAUUUCGUGGAGGUCCGAACCCACGAGCGUUGAAAAGCUCGGGGAUGACUUGUGGGUAGCGGUGAAAUUCCAAUCGAGCCCGGAGAUAGCUGGUUCUCCCCGAAAUAGCUUUAGGGCUAGCCUCAAGGUGAGAGAUACGGAGGUAGAGCACUGAAUGUCCUAGGGGGUAUUGCACCU
RNAcentral lists this ribosomal RNA (932 nucleotides) under Clostridioides difficile. RNAcentral describes it as "bacterial LSU rRNA". It matches the Rfam family "Bacterial large subunit ribosomal RNA", at positions 1 to 937 of the family's 2925-position model. The record is from RNAcentral. Lineage: Bacteria; Bacillati; Bacillota; Clostridia; Peptostreptococcales; Peptostreptococcaceae.